GUUUGUUAUUAUCUCUGACUCUGUGAGCAAGUAUUCCACAUGCGCUGUUUAGUUUGUUUGGGAGGCUUCGAGUAACAAUUGAUUAGGGAAGUAGCAUUUGGUUUUGGUUAUAUUUUAAAUUUGGGAAACAUCGGAAUCCAAACCAGCGAAUCAUGAGAUGGUGUAUCUUCCUACAAGGGUAUCAUCUUGACAUAAGACACAUCAAGGGUACCGAAAACGUGAUUGCGGAUGCACUAUCAAGAGUAUAAUGUGUGACUACAAGGUUGUGUCUUCGGUUUUAGUUUUUUUCUCCUACUUGUGUCUUCUCCUAGGUGCCGAGGUGGAUGAGUAUUGGGGGAGAUGAGUGGAUUCUGGAAGAUGCUGUGACAUCAGAGUUAUCUGGGAGUUCUGUAGUGUAGUAAAUAUUUGUGUGUACAUCCCAGUUUAGAUUGGGGGGGGGGGGGGGCUUGUUUUUGUUUUGGGUUGUAAUUCUGAGUGGGGGUACACUUCAGUGUCCUUUGGCAGUCCCGAUUAUGGGAUUGUUAAGGGUGCUGAGUUUAGUGUUUAAAGCCGCCCCGAGCUUGGCAAGCCACUGAAGACUAGAUAGGCUUUAGGUAGUUUGUAUUGUUUAGUUAGGAGGUUGGGAUGUACCCUAUUGGAAUUAUGUUUGUACACAUAUAUAUAUUUUUCGUUUGUGUUGUAUAGGGGUUUAUCUUUUAAGGGGGUGUGUGUGACGUGCCUCUGGGCCUGUAUUAUUAUUAUUAUAAUGAUUGUUGGGGGUGCGGUUUGGAGUAAAUCAUGAUGUGAAACACCUGCAAAGAGUGAAAAAAGAUCUGACUUCAAUGUUUUUUUGGUUACCCCUUUGUUGUCUGUUAUUCUGGGUUGCUGCUUUAUUCAUUAUUUUAUUUAUUACAUAUUUUUAUUUAUUCAUUAUUCGUUUGCUCCAUGUAUUGUUUUAAGUUUGGGUAGUUUGCAGGCCUGUAUUUUUUGGAGUGUAUAUUUUGUGGUAAUUAUGUAUCUUAUUCUUUAUUUGUGGAUUUUCUAAAUGGAAUGUUUUCCGUAGUGGUUAUUUUGAUUAAAUAAAUAUUUUUUAAUUUG
Carassius gibelio (silver crucian carp) is the source of this 1077-nucleotide long non-coding RNA. RefSeq lists it as uncharacterized. NCBI's taxonomy places the organism in Eukaryota, Metazoa, Chordata, Actinopteri, Cypriniformes, Cyprinidae. The transcript is spliced from 2 exons. The record is from RefSeq and is a predicted model, not a curated record.